Molecule: long non-coding RNA, 490 nt
Organism: Notolabrus celidotus (New Zealand spotty)
Lineage: Eukaryota; Metazoa; Chordata; Actinopteri; Labriformes; Labridae
Exons: 3
Source: RefSeq, a predicted model, not a curated record
UUCAUCUUUUUGGACACAUCUCGACAAGAAAAUUGAGGAAGCCUAUCUUCUGUUCGCUCGGCUACAACCAUGAAAUACUGCCGCCCGCUGACCCUCAGGAAGAGACGGACCUGCCAGGCAUCGUCUUUAGAUUGUCCUCUUUAACUAUUACAAAGGCCCUGAUUCGCCCGGACAGACCGUCCUCCGAGGGUUCAGACGGUCGACUGGUUCGGCUGUUGUGUCUUCCACUCGGCAUGAUAGGAACUGGUCUGGAUCAGGUUCCUGCAGAUCAAUGGAGAUCUGGGUCCGCACCGUUUACGUUAUCGUUGCCAGUAUUAAUGCUCUUUUAAUCUGCUCGGGAUUACAGCCAUCGAUCCACAUCAUCCAUCCGCACGCACGGCCGAGCCCAAAACUGCUGCUUCACACACACAAACACACACACACACACACACACAUAAACACACACACACACACAUAAACACACACACCUUUCAGACAAACACACAGACUG